AGGAAAGGAACUCACUUCCAUUGCCAAAUAUACAAGGAGAUGUGCGUCGUGUGUGCUCUUGCAACAAUUUAUUCACAUCUAGUUUGGAUGGUGAGGCGAUGGAUACAGUAUCUUGGACGCGAUAAAAUAGUGAAGUAAUGGUGUGGAACAAUAAUCACUAAUGGUGUGGAACAAUAAUAACCCAGCUUCAGCUUGAGGGGCAAACAACAUAAACAGGGUUUCACAAGAGCUGAUCUAUUGAAGUGUCUUGAAAUGAUAAAGGUUGAACAUGAACUUUCUCCGCAUAUGUCGAAUUUUGCUCGAAUAAGAAAUUGGAAACAGUGCAUUACAGGUAAAGAUUUUAUUAUGAAUCCACAAACUGAUGAUAGCAUUGAUGAUGGUGCAUUGAUGAUGGUUGGGCU
Molecule: long non-coding RNA, 401 nt
Organism: Impatiens glandulifera
Lineage: Eukaryota; Viridiplantae; Streptophyta; Magnoliopsida; Ericales; Balsaminaceae
Exons: 5
Source: RefSeq, a predicted model, not a curated record